Non-coding RNA from Mycena vulgaris, 96 nucleotides. NCBI's taxonomy places the organism in Eukaryota, Fungi, Basidiomycota, Agaricomycetes, Agaricales, Mycenaceae. The record is from the annotation of a GenBank genome assembly.
GACCUGAUAGCAUAAUUGGAUAGUGCAACUGUUAAAUUUGUUAUAGUUGCAUCAGUAUGUAAGCAGGAGAUUCCCGUUCGAUCCGGGGUCAGGUCA